Molecule: ribosomal RNA, 159 nt
Filed under: Trichophyton benhamiae
Lineage: Eukaryota; Fungi; Ascomycota; Eurotiomycetes; Onygenales; Arthrodermataceae
Description: 5.8S ribosomal RNA
Rfam family: 5.8S ribosomal RNA
About the family: 5.8S ribosomal RNA (5.8S rRNA) is a component of the large subunit of the eukaryotic ribosome. It is transcribed by RNA polymerase I as part of the 45S precursor that also contains 18S and 28S rRNA.
Source: RNAcentral
AACUUUCAACAACGGAUCUCUUGGUUCCGGCAUCGAUGAAGAACGCAGCGAAAUGCGAUAAGUAAUGUGAAUUGCAGAAUUCCGUGAAUCAUCGAAUCUUUGAACGCACAUUGCGCCCUCUGGUAUUCCGGGGGGCAUGCCUGUUCGAGCGUCAUUUCA